Molecule: long non-coding RNA, 2294 nt
Filed under: Selaginella moellendorffii
Lineage: Eukaryota; Viridiplantae; Streptophyta; Lycopodiopsida; Selaginellales; Selaginellaceae
Description: long non-coding RNA (SMOE_LNC001997)
Source: RNAcentral
UUGAAGCAUAUCCAGAUAUGCUCGAUACAGUCUAGAGCGAUGUGCUCUAGACUAUCAUUUUCUCUAGAGUUCCCAAUUGCCUGGGGAUGCAAAGAAAAGGUUAACGAGCAGCUAUGGAAAUUGAGGAAAUAGAAGGAAUGGAAGUGGAUUACGGGGUACCUUUACACAAAACGGGUGUUGCGUUGGUCCCUGAUGCUCGCUCUGGGGUAGUGCUGAAGUGGACGCUAGAAAAUGCAGUAGAGAGGAACGGGGAGCUUCUUCUGUUCCAUGUCCGAUCUGUUGUCCGAACAAUUACAACUCCUGGUAAGUCACUCUUUAGAAACAUCACUUGCAUCUAACAAAUUGUGUAAGUUGGGAGAGUACCUGUCUCGCAAGUUUCGAAGGAAAAACUUGCAGCGUAUAUGGCAACCAAGGAGGCCAAGACAGCGGACUUCUCUCAGGAGCUGCAAAAUGUCUGCAGACGUUAUGAGGUCCGAUCGGCUUGCUGAAAACUCAAAGGAAACACUUGACUUACAGGUGAAAGCAGAAUUCGUUCUCGUAGAGAGCGACGAUGUUGGUAAGUCUUUGGUGGAGCAAAUUGAGAAGUACCAAGUGACAACAUUCGUUCUUGGAGAGUCCCGAACAAACCUUCUGUAAGUAAGCAAGCUUGUUUCCUGCAAUGUGACACACGGUUUUAGUUCCUUUCAUCAGGAGAUUGAGGUCGGGAGUUUCAGACUACGUUCGGAAACAUGCUCCAGAUUACUGUACUGUGCAGUGCAUAUCGAAAUCCUCGAAAUUGGCGUCAUUCAGGAAUGCUUCACCACCGCACUCAUUCCCUCGUACAAAUUCAUCUCCUGCUCGUCCGAGUGUGGCGGACAAAUUCAUUUUCCCCUUAUCUCCGUCUCCAUCCUCUAGCUGGCUGGAAGCUGACGCUUUGAAUCGCGAAAUUCUCAUGGUAUCGACCUCUCCGCUGAAAAGUCACCUAUCAAUGCGAAGCAGUGACAGUAAGGAUGAGAUCGCUGAAGGAAGCUACCAACCUCAAACGCCGGAACUAAAAGUUGUGCCACCAGCCUUUCGCACUGAAGAAGAAUUCGCAGAGUCUUCGCCCAGUAGUAUCAUCAGCGAGCCCCUGCCUGCGGAUCCCAAGGUUAGAUUUACAAGAACAGCAUUUUGUUCUGACUCUCUCGUGCAGGCUGGAGAUCUGGAGCAAAUAAACAUGCUCAAGCAGCAGUUACAAAAUGCCAUCGUGGCUGCAAACAAAGCAAAAGAAUCUGCCGACGCUGAAACACUACGGAGCCAGGAAGCUCGCGAGAACGCUGAUUGGGCUUUAAAACGGGUAAACUGGAGAUGCUAUCGUCAAAAGUCUUACGAUUUCAUGGCAUUCCAGGCGGAAAUAUUGAUGCGAGCGGUCGAGGAGGACAAUCAGCGAGAGUAUAACGCAGCAAAGAAAUUAGAUGAGGAAUCGCAGAAGCGUGCUGAAGCUCUCACGCUUGUCAACUCGAUGAAAAAAGCACUGGUGGACGAAAUCCGGAGAAGGAAGGAAAUGGAAAACAGGAUAGAGCUCCAAUGUAAAGCAGAAGCUGAGAGAGAGGCCAACAGGCAACAACUGCUCAAGUACACACAAUUCACGUUUGAGGAACUCCGAGACAUCACAGACAACUUUUCUGAGAACAACAAAAUAGGAGAGGGAUCAUACGGUCACGUCUACAAAGGCACUCUCCACAGGACCAACGUAGCAGUCAAGGUUCUAAGACAUGAUAGUUGGCAAGGACCACAAGAGUUCGAACAAGAGGUACGUAAACUCACUCGAAUUUCUAAAAUCUCUAACAAGCAUGGGAAAAUAAAGGUGGAAGUGCUGAGCCGACUACACCAUCCUCACAUCGUUCUACUGCUAGGCGGAAAUCCGGAAAAGAAAUGCCUUGUCUACGAGUACCUGGAAAACGGGAGCUUGGAAGAUCGACUGUUCUGCAAGGACGACUCGCCGCCAAUCUCAUGCCUCACGAGGUACCAGAUUGCGGUGGAAGUCGGCACAGCGCUCCUCUUCCUCCACAAGGCAAAGCCACAGCCGAUCGUGCUCCGGGACCUCAAGCCUUCCAACAUCCUGCUAGACAAAAACUACAACAGUAAGAUCAGCGACGUUGGGUUGGCAAGAUUCAUGCCAGGCGACGCGACAAGCGUGAGGAGCACAUCACCUGUGGGAACGUUCGCGUACAUCGAUCCGGAGUACCAGCGGGAAGGCAGCUUCAAUGCAAAGUCGGACGUGUUUGCGUUUGGGAUCAUCCUGCUCCAGCUCCUCACCGCGACGAGCCCGGUUG